RNAcentral lists this unclassified non-coding RNA (244 nucleotides) under uncultured fungus. Its description in RNAcentral is "sequence contains ITS1". The stretch from base 1 to 98 matches the Rfam family "5.8S ribosomal RNA", at positions 49 to 154 of the family's 154-position model. Lineage: Eukaryota; Fungi. The record is from RNAcentral.
AAGAAUGCGAUAUGCAAUGUGAAUUGCAGAACCAUGAAUCAUCGGAUCUUUGAACGCAACUGGCGCUGACCUAAAUCAGCAUACUUGUAUCAGUGUGCGCAAACAACUAAACCAUUUAAAUGUGAGAGAAGUUCUCUCAUUAAGUAAAUGCUCACUGCAGCAGUCACAUUUAUUUGUGAGCUGAAGUGCUGAUAAAAUGCCUUAUUUGCACCUGAUAUCAAGUAAGAUGACCCGCUGGACUUAA